This 85-nucleotide non-coding RNA is filed under the name Pseudomonas sp. ok272. Lineage: Bacteria; Pseudomonadati; Pseudomonadota; Gammaproteobacteria; Pseudomonadales; Pseudomonadaceae. RNAcentral also lists the same sequence under 1 other name. The record is from RNAcentral.
UUUAAUGGCGGCUGUGCGUGGGAGACCUUCGGGUCUGCCGGUUGCUGAUUGCCGGAUUCUCACCCUGCGCACAGUUGCCACCCAA